This 254-nucleotide ribosomal RNA is filed under the name uncultured prokaryote. Its description in RNAcentral is "partial 16S ribosomal RNA". It matches the Rfam family "Bacterial small subunit ribosomal RNA", at positions 524 to 777 of the family's 1533-position model. The record is from RNAcentral.
UACGGAGGAUGCGAGCGUUAUCCGGAUUUAUUGGGUUUAAAGGGUGCGCAGGCGGGAGAUUAAGUCGGCGGUGAAAUUUUGCAGCUUAACUGUAACAGUGCCGUUGAUACUGGGGAGCUAGGAUUUGGUUGCUGUGGGUGGAAUGUGUGGUGUAGCGGUGAAAUGCUUAGAUAUCACACAGAAUAUCAAUUGCGAAGGCAGCUCACAAAGCCAAGAUUGACGCUGAGGCACGAAAGUGUGGGGAUCAAACAGGA